Molecule: unclassified non-coding RNA, 405 nt
Filed under: fungal sp.
Lineage: Eukaryota; Fungi
Description: partial internal transcribed spacer region
Source: RNAcentral
AAGUCGUAACAAGGUUUCCGUAGGUGAACCUGACGCUUUCAGACAGGGGAGUGCUCUAGGGUACCAGGGUGCUUUAUCUAGCGCUCAAUUGCAGCGUCCACGUACACACAGAACUUCCCAAAAUCAAAAUCUGUAAUUCUUUAGCGCCUGAUUUACUCGGGAUUGCUGUUUUGAUGUCCUGCAAGAACACGCUGAAGGUUCACAGGGUUGUUUUAACGUUUGGAUACGUGUUAAUGGGGAUCAAUGUUCAGGGUGGCGCAGUCAACGAUCGCUGUAGGUCCACACGACCGGCGACCGGGGUGGAGGCGAAAGCCCCUACGUCAUCCCUAUGUACCCUCCGGGACUUGGCGAAAGCUGACUCCGUCAUAAAUCGAACAACUGUUAACAAUGGAUAUCUUGGUUCUC